This 380-nucleotide ribosomal RNA is filed under the name uncultured eukaryote. Its description in RNAcentral is "partial 18S ribosomal RNA". It matches the Rfam family "Eukaryotic small subunit ribosomal RNA", at positions 592 to 976 of the family's 1831-position model. The record is from RNAcentral.
CAAUAGCGUAUAUUAAAGUUGUUGCGGUUAAAAAGCUCGUAGUUGGAUUUCUGCUGAGAACGACCGGUCCGCCCUUUGGGUGUGUAUCUGGCUCUUUCUUGGCACCUUCUUGGUGAACGUUGCUGCACUUGACUGUGUGGAGCGCUACCCAGGACUUUUACUUUGAGGAAAUUAGAGUGUUUCAAGCAGGCAUACGCCUUGAAUACAUUAGCAUGGAAUAAUAAGAUAGGACCUCGGUUCUAUUUUGUUGGUUUCUAGAGCUGAGGUAAUGAUUAAUAGGGAUAGUUGGGGGCAUUCGUAUUUAACUGUCAGAGGUGAAAUUCUUGGAUUUGUUAAAGACGGAUUACUGCGAAAGCAUUUGCCAAGGAUGUUUUCAUUGA